AGCUCCAAUAGCGUAUAUUAAAGUUGUUGCAGUUAAAAAGCUCGUAGUUGAAUUUGUGGCAUAUGAUGGGCUGAUAUUGCUUGUUUGUGAUGUUGCUGCCUGUUGUUGCCAUCCUUGGGUGGAAUCUGUGUGGCAUUAGGUUGUCGUGCAGGGAAUACCCAUCGUUUACUGUGAAAAAAUUAGAGUGUUCAAAGCAGGCUUAUGCCAAUGAAUAUAUUAGCAUGGAAUAAUGAGAUAGGACCUUGGUACUAUUUUGUUGGUUUGCGUAUUGAGGUAAUGGUUAACAGGAACAGUUGGGGGUAUUCGUAUUUCAUUGUCAGAGGUGAAAUUCUUGGAUUUUUGAAAGACGAACUACUGCGAAAGCAUUUACCAAGGAUGUUUUCAUUAAUCAAGAACGAAA
This 400-nucleotide ribosomal RNA is filed under the name phytoplankton environmental sample. RNAcentral's name for it is "partial small subunit ribosomal RNA". It matches the Rfam family "Eukaryotic small subunit ribosomal RNA", at positions 587 to 988 of the family's 1831-position model. The record is from RNAcentral.